GACGAACGCUGGCGGCGUGCUUAACACAUGCAAGUCGAACGGAAAGGCCCUUCUUUUGUGGGGUGCUCGAGUGGCGAACGGGUGAGUAACACGUGAGUAACCUGCCCUUGACUUUGGGAUAACUUCAGGAAACUGGGUCUAAUACCGGAUCUGAGCUCCUACUGCAUGGUGGGGGUUGGAAAGUUUCGGCGGUUGGGGAUGGACUCGCGGCUUAUCAGCUUGUUGGUGGGGUAGUGGCUUACCAAGGCUUUGACGGGUAGCCGGCCUGAGAGGGUGGCCGGCGACAUUGGGACUGAGAGACGGACCAGACGCCUACGGGAGGCAGCAGUGGGGAAUAUUGAACAAUGGGCGGAAGCCUGAUGCAGCAACGCUGCGUGCGGGAUGACGGCCUUCGGGGUGUAAACCGCUUUCGCCUGUGACGAAGCGUGAGUGACGGUAAUGGGUAAAGAAGCACCGGCUAACUACGUG
Molecule: ribosomal RNA, 468 nt
Filed under: uncultured bacterium
Lineage: Bacteria
Description: partial 16S ribosomal RNA
Rfam family: Bacterial small subunit ribosomal RNA
Source: RNAcentral